GACGAACGCUGGCGGCGUGCUUAACACAUGCAAGUCGAACGCUGAAGCUCAGCUUUUGUUGGGUGGAUGAGUGGCGAACGGGUGAGUAACACGUGAGUAACCUGCCCCCUUCUUUGGGAUAACGCCCGGAAACGGGUGCUAAUACUGGAUAUUCACUGGUCUUCGCAUGGGGGUUGGUGGAAAGGGUUUUUCUGGUGGGGGAUGGGCUCGCGGCCUAUCAGCUUGUUGGUGGGGUGAUGGCCUACCAAGGCUUUGACGGGUAGCCGGCCUGAGAGGGUGACCGGUCACAUUGGGACUGAGAUACGGCCGAGACUCCUACGCGAGGCAGCAGUGGGGAAUAUUGCGCAAUGGGCGCAAGCCUGAUGCAGCGACGCCGCGUGAGGGAUGGAGGCCUUCGGGUUGUGAACCUCUUUCGCUCAUGGUCAAGCCGCAACAAUGGUUGUGGUGAGGGUAGUGGGUAAAGAAGCGCCGGCUAACUACGUG
This 483-nucleotide ribosomal RNA is filed under the name uncultured bacterium. RNAcentral's name for it is "partial 16S ribosomal RNA". It matches the Rfam family "Bacterial small subunit ribosomal RNA", at positions 28 to 507 of the family's 1533-position model. The record is from RNAcentral.